UACGGGAAGGCAGCAGUGGGGAAUAUUGCACAAUGGGCGAAAGCCUGAUGCAGCUAUGCCGCGUGUAUGAAGAAGGCCUUAGGGUUGUAAAGUACUUUCAUCGGGGAGGAAAAAACAAAACUAAUAAUUUUAUUUCUUGACGUUACCCGAAAAAGAAGCACCGGCUAACUCCGUGCCAGCAGCCGCGGUAAUACGGAGGGUGCUAGCGUUAAUCAGAAUUACUGGGCGUAAAGAGCACGUAGGUGGUUUUUUUAAGUCAGAUGUGAAAUCCCUGGGCUUAACCUGGAACUGCAUUUUGAAACUGAAAUACUAGAGUAUCGUAGAGGGAGGUAGAAUUCUAGGUGUAGCGGUGAAAUGCGUAGAUAUCUGGAGGAAUACCUGUGGCGAAAGCGGCCUCCUAAACGAAUACUGACACUGAGGUGCGAAAGCGUGGGGAGCAAACAGGGAUUAGAUACC
RNAcentral lists this ribosomal RNA (456 nucleotides) under uncultured bacterium. Its description in RNAcentral is "bacterial SSU rRNA". It matches the Rfam family "Bacterial small subunit ribosomal RNA", at positions 340 to 786 of the family's 1533-position model. The record is from RNAcentral.